CCUACGGGAGGCAGCAGUGGGGAAUUUUGGACAAUGGGGGCAACCCUGAUCCAGCCAUGCCGCGUGAGUGAAGAAGGCCUUCGGGUUGUAAAGCUCUUUCGGCCGGGAAAAAAUCGCAUGGGCUAAUACCCUGUGUGGAUGAUGGUACCGGAAUAAGAAGCACCGGCUAACUACGUGCCAGCAGCCGCGGUAAUACGUAGGGUGCGAGCGUUAAUCGGAAUUACUGGGCGUAAAGCGUGCGCAGGCGGUUUGAUAAGACAGGCGUGAAAUCCCCGGGCUCAACCUGGGAACUGCGUUUGUGACUGUCUCACUAGAGUACGGCAGAGGGGGGUGGAAUUCCACGUGUAGCAGUGAAAUGCGUAGAGAUGUGGAGGAACACCAAUGGCGAAGGCAGCCCCCUGGGUCGAUACUGACGCUCAUGCACGAAAGCGUGGGGAGCAAACAGGAUUAGAUACCCUGGUAGUCCACGCCCUAAACGAUGUCAACUAGGUGUUGGGUGGGUAAAACCAUUUAGUACCGGAGCUAACGCGUGAAGUUGACCGCCUGGGGAGUACGGCCGCGAAGGUUAAAACCUGAAAGUGAAGUUGACGNGUUGAGAGNGCGAGACGACGACGAGGAGAGG
Molecule: ribosomal RNA, 622 nt
Filed under: uncultured bacterium
Lineage: Bacteria
Description: bacterial SSU rRNA
Rfam family: Bacterial small subunit ribosomal RNA
Source: RNAcentral